RNAcentral lists this ribosomal RNA (593 nucleotides) under Salmonella enterica subsp. enterica serovar Infantis. Its description in RNAcentral is "bacterial SSU rRNA". It matches the Rfam family "Bacterial small subunit ribosomal RNA", at positions 1 to 583 of the family's 1533-position model. The record is from RNAcentral. Lineage: Bacteria; Pseudomonadati; Pseudomonadota; Gammaproteobacteria; Enterobacterales; Enterobacteriaceae. RNAcentral also lists the same sequence under 1 other name.
AAAUUGAAGAGUUUGAUCAUGGCUCAGAUUGAACGCUGGCGGCAGGCCUAACACAUGCAAGUCGAACGGUAACAGGAAGCAGCUUGCUGCUUCGCUGACGAGUGGCGGACGGGUGAGUAAUGUCUGGGAAACUGCCUGAUGGAGGGGGAUAACUACUGGAAACGGUGGCUAAUACCGCAUAACGUCGCAAGACCAAAGAGGGGGACCUUCGGGCCUCUUGCCAUCAGAUGUGCCCAGAUGGGAUUAGCUUGUUGGUGAGGUAACGGCUCACCAAGGCGACGAUCCCUAGCUGGUCUGAGAGGAUGACCAGCCACACUGGAACUGAGACACGGUCCAGACUCCUACGGGAGGCAGCAGUGGGGAAUAUUGCACAAUGGGCGCAAGCCUGAUGCAGCCAUGCCGCGUGUAUGAAGAAGGCCUUCGGGUUGUAAAGUACUUUCAGCGGGGAGGAAGGUGUUGCGGUUAAUAACCGCAGCAAUUGACGUUACCCGCAGAAGAAGCACCGGCUAACUCCGUGCCAGCAGCCGCGGUAAUACGGAGGGUGCAAGCGUUAAUCGGAAUUACUGGGCGUAAAGCGCACGCAGGCGGUCUGU